UCCACCGAUUGACUAAGGUUUCCAGAGGAAGGCUCGUCCGCUCUGGGUUAGUCGGGUCCUAAGCUGAGGCCGACAGGCGUAGGCGAUGGAUAACAGGUUGAUAUUCCUGUACCACCUAUAAUCGUUUUAAUCGAUGGGGGGACGCAGUAGGAUAGGCGAAGCGUGCGAUUGGAUUGCACGUCUAAGCAGUAAGGCUGAGUAUUAGGCAAAUCCGGUACUCGUUAAGGCUGAGCUGUGAUGGGGAGAAGACAUUGUGUCUUCGAGUCGUUGAUUUCACACUGCCGAGAAAAGCCUCUAGAUAGAAAAUAGGUGCCCGUACCGCAAACCGACACAGGUAGUCAAGAUGAGAAUUCUAAGGUGAGCGAGCGAACUCUCGUUAAGGAACUCGGCAAAAUGACCCCGUAACUUCGGGAGAAGGGGUGCUCUUUAGGGUUAACGCCCAGAAGAGCCGCAGUGAAUAGGCCCAAGCGACUGUUUAUCAAAAACACAGGUCUCUGCUAAACCGUAAGGUGAUGUAUAGGGGCUGACGCCUGCCCGGUGCUGGAAGGUUAAGAGGAGUGGUUAGCUUCUGCGAAGCUACGAAUCGAAGCCCCAGUAAACGGCGGCCGUAACUAUAACGGUCCUAAGGUAGCGAAAUUCCUUGUCGGGUAAGUUCCGACCCGCACGAAAGGCGUAACGAUUUGGGCACUGUCUCAACGAGAGACUCGGUGAAAUCAUAGUACCUGUGAAGAUGCAGGUUACCCGCGACAGGACGGAAAGACCCCGUGGAGCUUUACUGUAGCCUGAUAUUGAAAUUCGGCACAGCUUGUACAGGAUAGGUAGGAGCCUUUGAAACGUGA
RNAcentral lists this ribosomal RNA (839 nucleotides) under Staphylococcus aureus. Its description in RNAcentral is "partial 23S ribosomal RNA". It matches the Rfam family "Bacterial large subunit ribosomal RNA", at positions 1333 to 2167 of the family's 2925-position model. Lineage: Bacteria; Bacillati; Bacillota; Bacilli; Caryophanales; Staphylococcaceae. The record is from RNAcentral.